GACGAACGCUGGCGGCGUGCCUAACACAUGCAAGUCGAACGGAAAGUCCUGUUUCGGUGGCUCACCGAUUGGUGAACGGGUGAGUCAUACCCUAGUAACCUGCCUAUGUCCCUGGGAUAACUUCUGGAAACUGGGACUAUCAUCGGACAGAAGCUUCUGCUCCUUGGUGUGGGCCGGAAAGUUUUGGUGGUUGGGGUUGGAAUCGCGGCUGCUCAGCCUGUUAGCGGGGUAGUGGCUUACCGAGGCUUUGACGGGUAGCCGGCCUGAGAGGGUGACCGGCCACAUUGGGACUGAGAUACAGCCCAGACUCCUACGGGAGGCAGCAGUGGGGAAUAGUGCACAAGGGGUAGAAGCCUGAUGCAGCAACGCCGUGUGCGGGGUGACGGCCUUCGGGUUGUAAACCGCAUUCGCUCAUGACGGAGCUGUGAGUGACGGUAGUGGGUAAAGAAGCACCGGCUAACUACGUG
This 467-nucleotide ribosomal RNA is filed under the name uncultured bacterium. Its description in RNAcentral is "partial 16S ribosomal RNA". It matches the Rfam family "Bacterial small subunit ribosomal RNA", at positions 28 to 507 of the family's 1533-position model. The record is from RNAcentral.